GAAUCUAAACGAACAUAGGCAAAUCUUGGAUGUCGGCAUGCCGCCUUUGUAGAUUUGUCCAAAGCCUCCGAUGCCGAGUAGAUUCUGUAGGUACAGAUGGUUGUAGGAGAACCUAUGAGCUCCGUCCUAGAAAUCAAAGCAAGAUUUGGUAGCUUAGAGAGAUGGAUCGACGACACCUUUUCUUCUGUUCCAUUUUACCCCAUACCUUUCAAAAAUUAAAGCGAUAUUUGGGAAUUGUCUGCAUGCCAAUCACAACAAAUCAAAUACAGGUAGCCUUAAACUAGACCUUCUCUCCCUCUUCCCUCCUCUCUCGGAUGAUGAGGGAAACCCCAUCGUCCCCUGCUCUCUUCCUUCCUCUUCGGGUUGCUUCCCCUAUGCAUCCUUCGGUUCCGGCUGUGGUUUCAUCGUUGGUCGCUCCUACCGCUCGAGGAAAGGCUCCAGAGAAGCGUGUCCCGGCUCCGGCCGCUGGCGCCCUUUCAUGGUCGCAGGCAUUGUCUUCACAUCUUUAAGGGCAAAUGCCAAAAGGGAGAAAAGAUGAUGGACAACGAUGAUUUUACAAAGUCAGGUCUGAUGUCAUAGAACUCAGAUUAAAAUACAACAGGACAUAUUGAUGGUGAAACUUCCAUGCAGAGAAACAGCAUACAAGUAUGAAUCUUGUCAAUGGCACCAUAUCAAGCAUAGGUUAGCAGUUGCAGAACAGAGACGCAGCGGCAGCUAAGUUGUUAAUUUACUUAAAUAUGUAAAUUAAGGGUCUUUUAACACUACAGUGAUGAAAUUUACUUGUUAGCAAACUCUCUGUUCUAUGGGUUUGUAUGAACAAUUUGUUCUGGUUCAAAGGAACAAAAACUGAGUCGUAAAGAUUAUAGUGUCAAAGAUUCAUUGGUAGUAGCAUGUGUGGAUCGUAUAUUGAUGGAUCAGAGGUAUGUGGAAAAAGUUGUGAUAUCUCAAUUCUCUAAGAUUUGCAGUAUGUUCGAUGCUUACAGGAUUGAAGAACAAAGAAAUAUCAGCUUCUUUAAGCAGUUCAUCAUGCUCAAAUCAAUGAUUCAACCACAUGAUACGAGCUUACUUGAUUCCCAUCUUGGCGAACACGAGCUCACACUGGAAGGAUUUCCCCUGCCCUUUGCCUCCCCAGAUACCCA
Molecule: long non-coding RNA, 1139 nt
Organism: Musa acuminata AAA Group (dessert banana)
Lineage: Eukaryota; Viridiplantae; Streptophyta; Magnoliopsida; Zingiberales; Musaceae
Exons: 3
Source: RefSeq, a predicted model, not a curated record